UAGCUACAGGCUUAACACAUGCAAGUCGAGGGGCAGCAUGGUCUUAGCUUGCUAAGGCCGAUGGCGACCGGCGCACGGGUGAGUAACACGUAUCCAACCUGCCGUCUACUCUUGGACAGCCUUCUGAAAGGAAGGUUAAUACAAGAUGGCAUCAUGAGUCCGCAUGUUCACAUGAUUAAAGGUAUUCCGGUAGACGAUGGGGAUGCGUUCCAUUAGAUAGUAGGCGGGGUAACGGCCCACCUAGUCUUCGAUGGAUAGGGGUUCUGAGAGGAAGGUCCCCCACAUUGGAACUGAGACACGGUCCAAACUCCUACGGGAGGCAGCAGUGAGGAAUAUUGGUCAAUGGGCGAGAGCCUGAACCAGCCAAGUAGCGUGAAGGAUGACUGCCCUAUGGGUUGUAAACUUCUUUUAUAAAGGAAUAAAGUCGGGUAUGGAUACCCGUUUGCAUGUACUUUAUGAAUAAGGAUCGGCUAACUCCGUGCCAGCAGCCGCGGUAAUACGGAGGAUCCGGGCGUUAUCCGGAUUUAUUGGGUUUAAAGGGAGCGUAGAUGGAUGUUUAAGUCAGUUGUGAAAGUUUGCGGCUCAACCGUAAAAUUGCAGUUGAUACUGGAUAUCUUGAGUGCAGUCGAGGCAGGCGGAAUUCGUGGUGUAGCGGUGAAAUGCUUAGAUAUCACGAAGAACUCCGAUUGCGAAGGCAGCCUGCUAAGCUGCAACUGACAUUGAGGCUCGAAAGUGUGGGUAUCAAACAGGAUUAGAUACCCUGGUAGUCCACACGGUAAACGAUGAAUACUCGCUGUUUGCGAUAUACUGCAAGCGGCCAAGCGAAAGCGUUAAGUAUUCCACCUGGGGAGUACGCCGGCAACGGUGAAACUCAAAGGAAUUGACGGGGGCCCGCACAAGCGGAGGAACAUGUGGUUUAAUUCGAUGAUACGCGAGGAACCUUACCCGGGCUUAAAUUGCAGAUGAAUUACGGUGAAAGCCGUAAGCCGCAAGGCAUCUGUGAAGGUGCUGCAUGGUUGUCGUCAGCUCGUGCCGUGAGGUGUCGGCUUAAGUGUCAUAACGAGCGCAACCCUUGUUGUCAGUUACUAACAGGUUCCGCUGAGGACUCUGACAAGACUGCCAUCGUAAGAUGUGAGGAAGGUGGGGAUGACGUCAAAUCAGCACGGCCCUUACGUCCGGGGCUACACACGUGUUACAAUGGGGGGUACAGAGGGCCGCUACCACGCGAGUGGAUGCCAAUCCCCAAAACCUCUCUCAGUUCGGACUGGAGUCUGCAACCCGACUCCACGAAGCUGGAUUCGCUAGUAAUCGCGCAUCAGCCACGGCGCGGUGAAUACGUUCCCGGGCCUUGUACACACCGCCCGUCAAGCCAUGGGAGCCGGGGGUACCUGAAGUGCGUAACCGCGAGGAGCGCCCUAGGGUAAAACUGGUGACUGGGGCUAAGUCG
RNAcentral lists this ribosomal RNA (1447 nucleotides) under uncultured organism. RNAcentral's name for it is "SSU rRNA". It matches the Rfam family "Bacterial small subunit ribosomal RNA". The record is from RNAcentral.